This 253-nucleotide ribosomal RNA is filed under the name uncultured bacterium. RNAcentral's name for it is "partial 16S ribosomal RNA". It matches the Rfam family "Bacterial small subunit ribosomal RNA", at positions 524 to 776 of the family's 1533-position model. The record is from RNAcentral.
UACGUAGGGUGCAAGCGUUGUCCGGAAUUAUUGGGCGUAAAGAGCUCGUAGGCGGUUUGUCACGUCGGAUGUGAAACCCUGAGGCUCAACCUCAGGCCUGCAUUCGAUACGGGCAGACUAGAAUUCGGCAGGGGAGACUGGAAUUCCUGGUGUAGCGGUGAAAUGCGCAGAUAUCAGGAGGAACACCUAUUGCGAAGGCAGCUCGCUGGGACGUAACUGACGCUGAGACGCGAAAGCGUGGGGAGCAAACAGG